UGUACCUACGGGACGCGCAGUGGGGAAUAUUGCACAAUGGGCGAAAGCCUGAUGCAGCAACGCCGCGUGAAGGAAGAAGGUCUUCGGAUCGUAAACUUCUGUCCUUGGGGAAGAUAAUGACGGUACCCUCGGAGGAAGCCCCGGCUAACUACGUGCCAGCAGCCGCGGAAAUACGUAGGGGGAAAGCGUUAUCCGGAAUUAUUGGGCGUAAAGAGUGCGUAGGUGGUUACUUAAGCGCGGGGUUUAAGGCAAUGGCUCAACCAUUGUUCGCCCUGCGCACU
This 281-nucleotide ribosomal RNA is filed under the name uncultured bacterium. RNAcentral describes it as "partial 16S ribosomal RNA". It matches the Rfam family "Bacterial small subunit ribosomal RNA", at positions 335 to 634 of the family's 1533-position model. The record is from RNAcentral.